ACCCGGACUCCUGUAGCGACACUAUAUCGGGACUAACUGGAUUUCGGGAGGGAGGAAAUAUUUUGGGAUUUUAGCUAACUAGCUGCGUUAAGAAGACGGGUUACCACUCCUUUGAUUUUACCGGACUGGAUGAUUCGUGUGAAUUAAGAAAAAGGAGAGGCGGGUUGGAUUUUGUUGAUGACAGAAAAAAGAUUGAAGAGGGACGAGAAAAGAUCCACCAGAGCUGGGAACUGAAGGACGAACUAUAACAAGAACAAGGACUCUUUACCUCCUGUGCCUCAGUGAGAUGAGAGCGGAGCAGCCUCAGGGUCCUGGGCAGUGAGCAGCAUGCAGGCCUGAG
This is a long non-coding RNA of Megalops cyprinoides (Indo-Pacific tarpon), 340 nucleotides long. RefSeq lists it as uncharacterized. Lineage: Eukaryota; Metazoa; Chordata; Actinopteri; Elopiformes; Megalopidae. The transcript is spliced from 3 exons. The record is from RefSeq and is a predicted model, not a curated record.